Molecule: transfer RNA, 85 nt
Filed under: Psychrosphaera sp.
Lineage: Bacteria; Pseudomonadati; Pseudomonadota; Gammaproteobacteria; Alteromonadales; Pseudoalteromonadaceae
Also listed under: 3 other names
Description: tRNA-Leu
Rfam family: tRNA
About the family: Transfer RNA (tRNA) molecules are approximately 80 nucleotides in length. Their secondary structure includes four short double-helical elements and three loops (D, anti-codon, and T loops).
Source: RNAcentral
GCCAGCGUGGUGAAAUUGGUAUACACGGGGGAUUCAAAAUCCCCUUUCGAAAGAAGUGUCGGUUCGAGUCCGACCGCUGGUACCA